GUGGGAAAAGAGGAUUUGUUCAUAGACACUUCAGGCUACACUGACACCCGACAAACGUAGAGAUCUGUGAUGUAGUGGUUAGCGACACAGCCUUUCACGUGGGCGCCUGAUCGAAUCUCAAGAGGGCAAUACUUUCUAUUGCGUUCUGGCUGAACUAGGCAUGCCUGGUUUCUUGCUAUAACCCCAGGAAUGGUUACAUAUAAACCAAGCGAGGAAGUAGGUCUUAAACUCUGUAUUUCAUUUAUUAACAGGAGCCCAUUAACACCAGUCUACAUGAUCACUUUCCACUGCUGGAACAUUCCAGAACUCCAAAACAUAAACAAAUACCUAGCUUCAACACCUGGGGCCCGUUCUUCGUACGUCGCUAACUCAGUUAGCUGGAUUUGAUUGUUGACGAUUUGGCAUGAUCUUGGAUCGUUUGGUUCUUCGAAGCUCAUCCUAGACUUGCUGUCAUAGCAACAGGUCCGUAAGCUUAUUUCAUGUAAACAGGAUUAGAUUGAGGCUUUAUAAGCGGAGGAGAUAGGGAAGUCUGUCAAAGCCAUGUCUUGUCCGUUUUUACGCGAGCAACCUGUUGCGGAAGGUGGGAGAAUAAUUCGCAGAGCUUUUCAAAUUAAAUCGGGUAUUGCGGGAUAGACAGGAUCCUUUAGCCCAGCGCGAAAGUAUAAUUGUUGAGAGAUACCGUUUUU
Esox lucius (northern pike) is the source of this 686-nucleotide long non-coding RNA. Lineage: Eukaryota; Metazoa; Chordata; Actinopteri; Esociformes; Esocidae. The record is from Ensembl.